GGGCGCAUGUUCUAGCGGUAUGAUUUUCGCUUCGCAUUCGUUGCGGAUAUGUGAAAGGUCCGGGGUUCAAUUCCCCGUGUGUCCA
This 85-nucleotide transfer RNA is filed under the name Trichodelitschia bisporula. RNAcentral's name for it is "tRNA-Ala". It matches the Rfam family "tRNA". Rfam says of the family: Transfer RNA (tRNA) molecules are approximately 80 nucleotides in length. Lineage: Eukaryota; Fungi; Ascomycota; Dothideomycetes; Phaeotrichales; Phaeotrichaceae. The record is from RNAcentral.